AAAUAUUAAGGCUUUGCCUUUUGUUGAUGCUUAUCACCUUCAAAAGUGAUUCAUCCAAAAAUAUUGGCGUCAAUUAUUAGUCCAAGAAACGCAGUGAAAUGUGAAUCUAAACUAAUUGAUUUAUUGCCUUGUUUUACUCUUUCAAA
RNAcentral lists this unclassified non-coding RNA (146 nucleotides) under uncultured Dothideomycetes. Its description in RNAcentral is "sequence contains ITS2". Lineage: Eukaryota; Fungi; Ascomycota; Dothideomycetes. The record is from RNAcentral.